GGAUUAGAUACCCUGGUAGUCCACGUUGUAAACGAUGAUUACUCGAUGUGUGCGAUAUAGUGUACGCGUCUUAGCGAAAGCGUUAAGUGACCCACCUGGGAAGUACGUUCGCAAGAAUAAAACUUAAAGGAAUUGACGGGGGCCCGCACAAGCGGUGGAGCAUGUGGUUUAAUUCGAAGCAACGCGCAGAACCUUACCAGCCCUUGACAUACCGGUCGCGAUUUCCAGAGACGGAUUUCUUCAGUUCGGCUGGACCGGAUACAGGUGCUGCAUGGCUGUCGUCAGCUCGUGCUG
Molecule: ribosomal RNA, 294 nt
Filed under: uncultured bacterium
Lineage: Bacteria
Description: partial 16S ribosomal RNA
Rfam family: Bacterial small subunit ribosomal RNA
Source: RNAcentral